CGGCGAGAGCGGGUCGCCGC
RNAcentral lists this small nuclear RNA (20 nucleotides) under Arabidopsis thaliana (thale cress). RNAcentral describes it as "snRNA_07242". The record is from RNAcentral. Lineage: Eukaryota; Viridiplantae; Streptophyta; Magnoliopsida; Brassicales; Brassicaceae.